Pelobates cultripes (western spadefoot toad) is the source of this 371-nucleotide non-coding RNA. The record is from the annotation of a GenBank genome assembly. Lineage: Eukaryota; Metazoa; Chordata; Amphibia; Anura; Pelobatidae.
GUCAGUAUCCCAGCUCUAUUCCUAGAGAUAUGAUUUCCAUGUAUGAGAAUCCCAGCCCUAUUCCUAGAGAUAUGAUUCCCCUGUGUGAGUAUCCCAGUCCUAUUCCUAGAUAUAUGAUUCCCCUGUGGAUUAUCCCAGCCCUAUUCCUAGAGAUAUGAUUCCCCUGUGUGAGUAUCUCAGCCCUAUUCCUAUAGAUAUGAUUCCCCUGUGUGAGUAUCCCAGCCCUAUUCCUAUAGAUAUGAUUUCCCCAUGUUCGUAUCCCAGCCCUAUUCCUAGAAAUAUGAUUCCGCUGUGUGAGUAUCCCAGUCCUAUUCCUAGAGAUAUGAUUCCCCUAUGUGAGUAUCCCAGCCCUAUUCCUAGAGAUAUGAUUC